Long non-coding RNA from Leptidea sinapis, 1820 nucleotides. RefSeq lists it as uncharacterized. The transcript is spliced from 2 exons. Lineage: Eukaryota; Metazoa; Arthropoda; Insecta; Lepidoptera; Pieridae. The record is from RefSeq and is a predicted model, not a curated record.
AGCGUUGCCGGCCUUUAAGGAAGGUGUACGCGCUUUUUUUGAAGGUACCCAUUUCGUAUCGUCCCGGAAACACCGCACAAGGAAGCUCAUUCCACAGCUUUGUAGUACGUGGAAGAAAGCUCCUUGAAAACCGCACUGUGGAGGACCGCCACACAUUCAGAUGGUGGGGAUGAUAACACCUUUAAACAGCUAAAUAUGUCGUGCAUUCAGUGAAUAGGUUUAUGGUUUAAAGCGUUUGACAUUGACACCUGUCAAUGUCUUACGAUUUAUGAUGAAUAAGCUACCUCUCAGUGUACUACAGCACUCACGAUUCAAGCUUACUAAAUAUCACAAUAAUAUGCAAAAUGCCUAAGCAUUUAUACAUCUAGAAUCUAGAUAGACUGUGACACUUGUGAAAAAAUCGAAAAUAAUUGAGGUUGACAGUUAACCUCUAUUUUGAGACACUAACACAAAGUGACAUAGCGAGUGUAAGACGUGGCUAUUCACACAAAGAAAAACUAAACACUAAACUGUCACUACGCACUAAAGUAAUAAACUUGGCCUGUUUUCAUCGGUUGUCUAGGAGCAAGAGGCUCUAUCGAGACAUAUAAAUUAUCUAAUGCAAAAUAUAUAUAUUUGGCUUAAAUUAGCCACUAUUAAAUAGUAAUUGUAAAAUUUUAAUUGAGUUCUUCGUUUCUUAAUAUUUAAUACUAGCGAGAUAUAUCUUAACCAUUCUGUCAAAUGUCUACUAUGGCAGCGCCUGCGACGUCUGGGAUGUUAUCAUGACAAUUGUAUACAUAAUAUUGCAUAUUCCAUUAAAUAAUUUAUUUCUAUAUUAUAUUAUUAUGGAUUAUAUUAUCAAAUGACUCAUAUCUGCUUAGAUAUUGUUAAUAUAAGUGUCACAGUUGCCAUUUAAAUUAUGUACUUUAUGUCAUACCAUUAUAGAGUCUAUUUUGAUUGCUGUGUUUUAUAUUCGUAUUAAUCUCCUUAAUAUUAGUAAAAAUUUGCCAUAUUUUUAACAGCCUUUAGGAGCAUAGAUUUGUUUUUAUACGUUUUUUACAUUGUGUUGUUUUCGAUGCAUCCAUAGUUUAUAUAAGUUCAAAUGUACAGUUGGAUUGUUAUCAAUUUUGAUAUUGUAUCUCGUGUUGUAUGUAUGUAUGUCUAUCAUAAUACAGAAACCAAGGAAUCUCAAGUUAUGUGAAGAAUUGAUAAAAAUAUAAAGCAUUUUUUCAAGUAGUAUUUCAAGAUACAUGUCAUAUUUUGUAUAUUAUAUAUUGUGGCUACAGCAGUAUAUACAUAUAUAUGUAGUCUAUGUUUCUUAGCUAAUGUCGUGACUAUAACUAUGCGUAAAGAAUGAUAUUUUGAAUUAUGUAACACAUAAAGUAAUAUGUAAGUUUAAACCCCGCUUCCUUGUAACCAAAUUAUUGUGAUUGUUCUAAUUUGAUGUAAUUUAUUUCCCUUAAUUAUUAUGCUAUUAAUAUAUUCCCAAGUUCAGUGUCUAUAACAUUAAAUAAUUGAAAAUAAUGAAAAGGAGAUGUUGGAUUCAGUGUAUCAAUAUAUAUAUUAUAUAUCCUCGCUUAUCUUGCUGUAAUUAACUGUAUAACAAUAUGGUCAAUAAAUGUCCCAUAUUUAAGUAUAGAUAAUACAGUCUUAUAUGUAAUUUUGUAUCGCUAGCUGUUGUGAAUAAGAUUUAUUUACAUUGACAUAAAUAUAUAGUAUAGCAUAUUGUCGUGGAAGCUGGUAUAUAGUAGGAACACUGUAAUAUGUGACAAAACUAUUGUUGUUCUCAUUUCUAAGAGUAUUAUCUAGUCUGCAUUAAAGUUAAGAAUAAAUUGAAUAAA